This 537-nucleotide ribosomal RNA is filed under the name uncultured archaeon. RNAcentral describes it as "bacterial SSU rRNA". It matches the Rfam family "Bacterial small subunit ribosomal RNA", at positions 513 to 1050 of the family's 1533-position model. The record is from RNAcentral.
AGCCGCGGUAAUACGUAGGUGGCGAGCGUUAUCCGGAUUUACUGGGUGUAAAGGGCGCGCAGGCGGCCCUGGAAGUCAGAUGUGAAAGAUCAAGGCUUAACUUUGACAGGUCAUCUGAAACUUUGGGGCUUGAGUAUCAGAGGGGAAAGUGGAAUUCCUAGUGGAGCGGUAAAAUGCACAGAGAUUAGGAGGAACACCGGUGGCGAAGGCGACUUUCUGGCUGACAACUGACGCUGAGGCGCGAAAGCGUGGGGAGCAAACAGGAUUAGAUACCCUGGUAGUCCACGCCGUAAACGAUGAUUACUGGGUGUAGGGAGUAUCGACUCUCUCUGUGCCGAAGCAAACGCGAUAAGUAAUCCACCUGGGGAGUACGGCCGCAAGGCUAAAACUCAAAGGAAUUGACGGGGACCCGCACAAGCAGUGGAGUAUGUGGUUUAAUUCGAGGCAACGCGAAGAACCUUACCAGGGAUUGACAUCCUGCGCUAGGCUUGGAGACAGGUUGUUCCUUCGGGACGCAGAGACAGGUGGUGCAUGGCC